AUUUUCACAGAAACGUGGGACUUGUAUGGAAGUUGAUUUCAAGACUAGAAAAUAGUGACCAGAAGAAAGGUCAACCAGAUAACAAUCUUGGGCAUCUUGAUUUUUUCUUUCUUUUUACAGUGUUUGUCCACUCAGCGAGAUUUAUAUACAGAGGAAAAACCAAAGCUACAAUAACCCUUUUAUCUUCAAAAUUAUUGUACAUCCUACUCAUUAGAGAAUUAGAUUAGCUACUACAAAAUAGAAGAAAAGCCCUGGAUACAUUUUCAACCCCUGCACAAACUGCCUCUGAGAAAUUUCAUUCUGAUUUCCCGUCCCAUCCCCAGGACUGUUUAAGUUUCUUCAGCAACAAAAUUGUCAAUCCUAGAAAUGGCCAUGCCAUAGAAAAAUCUACACCAAAACCCAAAGAGAAUAAAAUAUACCUUCCAAGUAUUUUGAAGAUCUAUGCUACCAGCAGAAAAGAAUUUGGUCACGUUGCCCCUGAAGUUGCAGUAACUCCACUUCCAUCUCUCAACCCCUGGAGGCAUAAAUUUAGUGUUCUUUGCACACUAUCUGCAACCAUUCUCAACCUUCCUUGGGUAAAAUCAGCGGAACAUCCAUUUAUUUCCACAGUUCGAAUCACCUCCUGUUUACAUUUUUCCCAAUCAUCAACACGCAACCAGCAAGCUUGGCCUCCAUGGCUUCCUUCCAUGCCAAGGAAUGUUACGUUAGUGUUUUCACCAAAUGAAUAUCUCAACCUCACUGAGACACAAUAGGGCAACCAAGCAGCACCACCAGCAGCAUUAACAUGAGGUAUAUGAGCAGGAUCAAGAACAACAGUAAGUGCAAAAUCAACAGAACUAUGGGGCCGAUCAUAAUGAAUAUUGCUAAAAGCUGCAGAUGAAUUCUCAGAGUUGUCAUUCUCAUUUAACCCAGCAUGAUUUUCAAGGCAUAAUUCAAUACGAGGCUUCUGUCCAGGAGCUGUUUCUCCACCUUGCACCUGAGUUGAUCCUUUCUUCCAUGCAAUCAAUUUUAGAAAUUCUCUCAAUACUGAUAUUGGCAAGGUGAGAAGAGUGAUGAAUGAUGCAACACGAGAUGCAUCAUAGGGUUCUGAUGCUACACGGCGACUGAAAUAAUCACACAUCUCUCCUAUUUCAGAUUGAGUUAGUUCUUCUUGAGAAGUCACAGAGUUCUGUUGCUGUUGUUGCUGCUGUU
Molecule: unclassified non-coding RNA, 1191 nt
Filed under: Hevea brasiliensis (rubber tree)
Lineage: Eukaryota; Viridiplantae; Streptophyta; Magnoliopsida; Malpighiales; Euphorbiaceae
Source: RNAcentral